Pelobates cultripes (western spadefoot toad) is the source of this 223-nucleotide non-coding RNA. The record is from the annotation of a GenBank genome assembly. Lineage: Eukaryota; Metazoa; Chordata; Amphibia; Anura; Pelobatidae.
GGGCAGUUGUGUUGGUCGCCCCCGAUUUGGACCAACGCCAGGGUCAAACCAUUUCAGAAUGACAUCCAUACUAAAUUCGAUAACACUGUCAAUGUCCAGGGCUCUUAGCAUGCGUCCCAAUCUCAGUCUUUUGGACAAGUAGGUUUAAGAAAAAUAAAUUAAACAAUUAUGCAACCCUGUGGGUUCACUUGAAAUAGAUUCAAUAAUAAUUUGCAUCUUGACG